This is a long non-coding RNA of Bubalus bubalis (water buffalo), 984 nucleotides long. RefSeq lists it as uncharacterized. The record is from RefSeq and is a predicted model, not a curated record. The transcript has 2 exons. Lineage: Eukaryota; Metazoa; Chordata; Mammalia; Artiodactyla; Bovidae.
GUGGGGUGCCAUUGCCUUCUCCGAGGUCACACAGCUAGCAAGCAACAAAACUAGGAUUUAAACCACAGACAAUGUGGUGUUGUCACUCCUGUUCAAUCAGAAGCCCAACAAGUUUCUAACUCUCCAAUCAGACCUCCAAAGGGAUGGGAUCUGGGAGUUGGCCAAAUACUUUACCUCUCACUGUUUGCCCUGUUCUGUAAAUAAAUUUCAACAGAAGUUACCUUUAAUGCCUCUGGGAGGCACUGAUCUAUCUUAUCUCGAUUGAAAAUAAUUUGGAAAUCUACUCCAUUUCAGUUCCCUUUUAAAACGCUUCCAGUAAUAUAAUCCCACUUUAAAUUUUUUGCUUAUUUUAAACAAUCUUUUUUUCUUACUCCCAGUUAGAGUUUAUAACUCUGUCUUCCCAGGCGGAGAAGAACCAGAGACGCCUAACAUCAUUAAACCGCCUCUAAUUCGGGUUGGAGGACACGUGGCAGGCAGCUGAUGCAUGUUUGCAGAAGGAAUCCAAAUCUUCGUGCCUCCCGCGGAUCAGCGCUCUAUUUGGAACGGGUCGUGGGCCGGGCUUCUAGAAGUCCUCGUAGGCACCUAGCCGGGUAGUGAACCUCGCGUAGGAUGCGGGCAACGCCAGUGCGGGGAACCGCGAGGAAUUUCCAAAAGGAAACCGAACACACCAAAGGUUGGUCCUCACUGUAUGAAGAGAAAACCUCCCCAGCCCCAACAGGGAAGGGAAAGGGGAGAGCUCUCUGGGUUCCCAUGAGAUGAGAAUGUUCCCACUUUCUCUCUGGAUUCUCUGCAGCAGAAAGCAAGAUACCCCAGGGGGUAUUUGUGGAAAGGUUGAAUGAAUGAGAAUCAAGCUGAAGGAAGAGAGAAGCUGAAGGAAAGGAAGAUACCAACAAACCACCAAUGUACAGACCAAAGAUGGAAUUAUCAUAAAUAACUAUCAGGUUUCUAUGACACUUGAAAAUAAAUAGACCUUUUACUCUAUGU